RNAcentral lists this ribosomal RNA (241 nucleotides) under uncultured bacterium. Its description in RNAcentral is "partial 16S ribosomal RNA". It matches the Rfam family "Bacterial small subunit ribosomal RNA", at positions 333 to 591 of the family's 1533-position model. The record is from RNAcentral.
GGACUCCUACGGGGGGCAGCAGUGGGGAAUAUUGCACAAUGGGGGGAACCCUGAUGCAGCGACGCCGCGUGGGUGAAGGAGUACUUCGGUACGUAAAGCCCUAUCAGCAGGAAAGAAAAUGACGGUACCCAAGGAAUAAGCCCCGGCUAACUACGUGCCAGCAGCCGCGGUAAUACGUAGGGGGCAAGCGUUGUUUGGAAUGACUGAGCGUAAAGGGUGUGUAGGCGGUGUAGCAAGUUAG